RNAcentral lists this ribosomal RNA (165 nucleotides) under uncultured bacterium. Its description in RNAcentral is "partial 16S rRNA". It matches the Rfam family "Bacterial small subunit ribosomal RNA", at positions 355 to 511 of the family's 1533-position model. The record is from RNAcentral.
UAGGGAAUCUUCCACAAUGGACGCAAGUCUGAUGGAGCAACGCCGCGUGAGUGAAGAAGGUCUUCGGAUCGUAAAACUCUGUUGUUAGAGAAGAACGUGUGUGAGAGUGGAAAGUUCACACAGUGACGGUAACUUACCAGAAAGGGACGGCUAACUACGUGCCAA